RNAcentral lists this small RNA (108 nucleotides) under Arabidopsis thaliana (thale cress). Its description in RNAcentral is "ATSL276900". The record is from RNAcentral. Lineage: Eukaryota; Viridiplantae; Streptophyta; Magnoliopsida; Brassicales; Brassicaceae.
UUAACUUUCUAACAAAAAUAUCAAGUCGCAGUGUACCACGUGUCAGUCUCUGGUAGGGGCAGAAAAUACACUUCGAUUUCUCCUUUUUCUAAUUAAACCAAAUAUAAC